This 1243-nucleotide long non-coding RNA is filed under the name Lonchura striata (white-rumped munia). RNAcentral's name for it is "domestica (Bengalese finch) lncRNA (ENSLSDG00000001199.1)". The record is from RNAcentral. Lineage: Eukaryota; Metazoa; Chordata; Aves; Passeriformes; Estrildidae.
ACCGGUGGUGCCGCGUCCCCGGGGCGCUCCUCGCCGCGCUGGCAGCUCCGCAGCCCCGUGGCGGCGGGGCCGCUGCUCUGAGCUCACCGCAGCUGCCGGGGGCCGAGCAGGGCCGCCCGCGCCCUAGGGAGCGCCCCCCGCGGGCCGGGCUCCCAUGGCCACCGGCCCCGCCGGGCGCCCGCAGGCAGCGGCUCCGGGCCCCGGGCGGGCGGCAGCGAUGGCUUCGGGGGCGGACGAGUCCCCUCCUGCAGGCGAACGGGGAGGCGCUCGCCUUCUUCGCGAGGGACUGGCGGCGGCUGCGGCGCUUCUCGCCGGGACGUGCGCGGCCGCGGAGGGCUCCGUGUGCCUCAGAGGCGGAGCGGGAUGGGGCAGGCGGUGCGCACAGAGCUCCACGCCGACGCUCCCCCUAGCACCGCCGCCAGCAGCGUGGCGGGCACGGAUGCAUUUUCCCGAGAAGGCAGAGCGAGCCGUGGCACCGGCGCUGGCAUCGGACUCCCGGCGAGAGGCCGCUACCGACGACCUGCGGCCGCGCGUCGCCCGCGGGCACCGGGGCACCGCGUUCCCCCGAUCCGCCCGCCCGCCCCCGGCUGCGGAGAUGCGGGGCACCGCUCCUCCUUCCCGCGGCGGCGGGCCCGCUCCUCGCCGUCACGCCUUCUUCUGCAGCAAGCGGGCGGGCAUCGUCCUGGGGCGCGGCGGAUCGGUCACUGACAGCGGGCGGCGGGAGGGGCUGCCGCCGUCGAGCCCGCGCUGUUCUGCGGCGGGGCCGCAGGCUGAGCCCCGCCGGUGGGACGGAGGGAGGGAGCGAUGGCCGCCUCAGGCGGUGCCUGGCUGCUCCGGCGCCACCGAGCCGCUGCCUGUGCCUGCUCGUAUCCCCCGCCUCCGCCUCACACCUCCGCCACCGCCCGCUCGUCCCCUCGCGGCGGGCAGGCGCAGCCGCCGCGCGGAGGGCGCACCUCCGUCCCGCUCCUCCUUCCCGGGGAACGAGAACGCAAGAGAAGGGAAAGCGAGGGACGAGAAGAGCGGAGAGGAGCCGCGCCCUGCCCUACAGCCCCGCGCCGCACGCAGCCAGCGCGCUCCUGCCCGCGGCGGCACCUGCCCGCUCUGCCUCCAUCCUCCGCCCGGGGAGCUUUAAAUAGAACACGUCACCGCGCUCCCCUACGCACCGACGUCACGCCCCGCUCCCGGCGCUGACGUCACCCGGGUGCGGAGGAUGAUGUCAGAGCGGUCCACGCCGCCGGAAGCU